AGCGUAUUUUGUGAUGGCGGAGCUCGACCGCCGCGAGAAAUGAUGAUGUCGUUCAUCGACGCCUAUCGCGAGGAUCUGGGUAUCGAGACGGUUUGCCGGGAACUGGCAAUCGCCC
Novosphingobium subterraneum is the source of this 115-nucleotide non-coding RNA. The record is from Rfam. Lineage: Bacteria; Pseudomonadati; Pseudomonadota; Alphaproteobacteria; Sphingomonadales; Sphingomonadaceae.